GAUGAACGCUGGCGGCGUGCCUAAUACAUGCAAGUCGAGCGAACAGAUAAGGAGCUUGCUCCUUUGACGUUAGCGGCGGACGGGUGAGUAACACGUGGAUAACCUACCUAUAAGACUGGGAUAACUUCGGGAAACCGGAGCUAAUACCGGAUAACAUAUUGAACCGCAUGGUUCAAUAGUGAAAGGCGGCUUUGCUGUCACUUAUAGAUGGAUCCGCGCCGUAUUAGCUAGUUGGUAAGGUAACGGCUUACCAAGGCAACGAUACGUAGCCGACCUGAGAGGGUGAUCGGCCACACUGGAACUGAGACACGGUCCAGAAUCCUACGGGAGGCAGCAGUAGGGAAUCUUCCGCAAUGGGCGAAAGCCUGACGGAGCAACGCCGCGUGAGUGAUGAAGGUCUUCGGAUCGUAAAACUCUGUUAUCAGGGAAGAACAAAUGUGUAAGUAACUGUGCACAUCUUGACGGUACCUGAUCAGAAAGCCACGGCUAACUACGUG
This 497-nucleotide ribosomal RNA is filed under the name uncultured bacterium. RNAcentral describes it as "partial 16S ribosomal RNA". It matches the Rfam family "Bacterial small subunit ribosomal RNA", at positions 28 to 507 of the family's 1533-position model. The record is from RNAcentral.